UCUUGAUGUGGCGGCUGCCGCUGGGUCUCACAGGAAGUUCCCGUCCAUUCAGGUUAGCAAGCUUGUCUAGGAUGUCAUUUAACUGCUGGCUGUGCAACAAUCCAAUAUGCGAUUUUCCCAUCAGACGACGCACCUUUUUCCUAAUAUCAUUCUUAUUCACCUUUAUCAUAAGCAUAUAAGCAAUCAUAUUAUGUAGCAGCGUAGCCAAUAAGCGGUCCUCAUCAUCCUCCAAACGUUUUCGAUCAUGUUCUCCCAGGGAAAGAUACCUGUCAAUCAUCUCCUGGGGUCCCUG
This 292-nucleotide long non-coding RNA is filed under the name Gallus gallus (chicken). The record is from RNAcentral. Lineage: Eukaryota; Metazoa; Chordata; Aves; Galliformes; Phasianidae.